GUAGUCGUAGUCGAGUGGUUAAGGCGAUCGACUAGAAAUCCAUUGGGGUCUCCCCGCACAGGUUCGAAUCCUGUUGACUGCG
Molecule: non-coding RNA, 82 nt
Organism: Ixodes scapularis (black-legged tick)
Lineage: Eukaryota; Metazoa; Arthropoda; Arachnida; Ixodida; Ixodidae
Source: Rfam